Molecule: ribosomal RNA, 328 nt
Filed under: Treponema sp.
Lineage: Bacteria; Pseudomonadati; Spirochaetota; Spirochaetia; Treponematales; Treponemataceae
Description: partial 23S ribosomal RNA
Rfam family: Bacterial large subunit ribosomal RNA
Source: RNAcentral
GCUGGGUUCAGAACGUCGCGAGACAGUUCGGUCCCUAUCUGUUAUGGGCGAUGGAUGUUUGAGAGGAUCUGCUUUUAGUACGAGAGGACCGAAGUGGACGAACCUCUGGUUUACCAGUUAUCCUGCCAAGGGUAAGUGCUGGGUAUCUAAGUUCGGAAGGGAUAACCGCUGAAAGCAUCUAAGCGGGAAGCCCACCUCAAGAUUAGACAUCCCCGGGGAUUCAAUCCCCCUGAAGACUCCUGGGAGACUACCAGGUUGAUAGGCUGCAGAUGUAAGUGCGGUGACGCAUUCAGUCGAGCAGUACUAAUAAGUCGUGAGGCUUGACCAU